Molecule: microRNA, 23 nt
Filed under: Gallus gallus (chicken)
Lineage: Eukaryota; Metazoa; Chordata; Aves; Galliformes; Phasianidae
Description: microRNA Ros-gga
Source: RNAcentral
UACAAGUGAUGAUUUCAAGCGAC